RNAcentral lists this long non-coding RNA (252 nucleotides) under Mytilus galloprovincialis (Mediterranean mussel). Lineage: Eukaryota; Metazoa; Mollusca; Bivalvia; Mytilida; Mytilidae. The record is from RNAcentral.
GUUCAGCAAAGUAAGAUCUAAAAAUAAGUCAACAUGACCAAAAUUGUCAGUUUACCCCUUAAGGAGUUAUUGCCCUUUAUAGUCAUUUUUUAACAAUUUUUGUAAAUUUUUAGAAUAUAUUUUCCACAGUUAUUACUGGGCCAAGUUCAUUAUAGUUAGAGAUAAUUGUAGCAAGAAGAAUGUCCAGUAAAGUAAGAUCUACAAACACAUCAUAAUCACCAAAACACAAUUUUGUCAUGAAUUUAUCUGUGU